This 2643-nucleotide long non-coding RNA is filed under the name Triticum aestivum (bread wheat). Its description in RNAcentral is "long non-coding RNA (TAES_LNC022269)". The record is from RNAcentral. Lineage: Eukaryota; Viridiplantae; Streptophyta; Magnoliopsida; Poales; Poaceae.
CGAGGGUGCCGGUCCCAACGAUAUGGUCAAGCAGGUAAUGAUCAUUUAGUAAGAAGCAAGAUAUUAUCGAGUUCAACAUCAUCAUGAAAUUAUAAACACUCAGUUAGUUCAUUAGACCACAAAACCUAAUAAAUACAACAUUAAGUUCAAAAAUAAGAGCACGAACACGAGAGAGGAAGUACUAAUAGCAGGAACAUAAUAAGAAAGCAAAAGCCAGGCAUACUGAUGGUAGAGGAGGUCAAACUACAAAGCAACAGCUAUUAGGCAUACUAAUUAGUAGCUCUGUCCAACUGCCUUGUCGGUCAACUUCAUAGGUGCGCUUAGAUGAUCAACCGCGUGGCCUUGGUGUGAAAGCAACUGGCGCAAGCACAUCAUGCUCUUGUGCCUGAGACUGUCUUUUUAUUUGAAUAAUCUCAGCCCAUGUGGGAAACUAAAGCAUGAUGGCACGAACUUCAGAAGAUGUCGUGUACUCAAAGAUGACUUGAAUUCGAUGGUUCUACAAAACAGAUAAAAAUAAAGAUCAUUACUCUAUUGAUAAGUAAGGAAAAGGGAACAAAUAACAAACAUCUACUUUGGAUUAGCUAGUGUUAAUAAACCAUUAAAGAUUACUGAGUGUACAAAAAAUGAUAUGCGGUCAGACUAUCGAUACUCUUUAGCCUAUAUAACCUAGGUGUACGUCAUCCCUUUCUCUACAAAGUAUAAUUUAGCCGUACUUUAUUGUUAUUGUUGAAUCAAGAAACCAAUGGAAUGAUAAAUGGAUACAUUGAACUUACAUGAAAGGCCACCAGAUAUCUCAAAGAAAAGAUUGCUGAUGUAAACAUGUCUAUGCCAACCUGUGGAUAUUUAUUUGAGUAGAUGUCACUAAUUUCAAUCGUUAAUAUCUGGUAUAGAGGAAAUUCAUGUAGGUAGUAAAAAUUCAGUGGCGGAACUGAAUUAUACAAUAAAUGCAUAUGCAUAUAUGAAACACAAUCUCUGUCUGUUGUCCAAAUAUAUGAAAUCUGCUUAUAAUCUUGAUCCAGAGCAGCCAGUAGGUCUCUAAGCUGCUUUUUUAAAAAGGAAGAUAACCAAAAAAAAACUAAUAAUGAUUGUAGCUACAUCUUUAAUCUAUGAAGUGAUACACAUAGCCAACGGCCCUUGAAGAUCACAUGGCUAAGGAGCAUGUCAAUAUCAGCUUUUAUGCAAGUAGAAGCGGCACACUUCAUUCACACUGCACUAUGAUAGCAGUAUGUAUACAUUGUGUAGAUACCAUUACUGAAGUAUAGUGAUAAGAAAAGAAACAUGAUUACUGCACAUUAUUUAUUCCUAAUUUAUUAUAUUUGAAGCCCCACAGAAAAAAAUAAGUUGUAAAGAUCACCAUGUAUGUUGACAUGUUCACUAAAUCUUGAACUAUAGUCAGUUCAUAAUUUAAAAGCAUUAUCUCAGGGGCUUGAACUAAGAAAAAAAAUGAAGAACGAAAUAUUAACUACAUGGGCGGGUUCACAACAUAUAUUCACCCUGUGCGUUCGGUUUAUUCGGUUUACAUGGUUCGAUUUAUACGGUUUUUCAGUUUGUACGGUAUUAAUACUUCGGUAAAUAUGGUAUGAAAUUAAAAUAUGGCUCGGUUUCGGUAUAUACCAAAUUAUUUCGGUAUGGUUUCGGUAUAUACCAUAAAAACCAACGUUGACGCGAAUUUGGAAAUGAUGUAAUAAUAAUUAGCAAAUUUAUGACUCAAAACACAUACUAUUCUACACAAAUAGUAUAUGACUAUAUAUAUAAGUAUAUAUGCAUGCAUUGAUUCAUCUGUUGAUGGUUAUGGACGUGCUUAGCAUUUUAAAAAUAGAAAAAUGACUAUGUUACAAGAAAAAAAUUAUGUUCUUAGUAGUGCAUUUGACUCAUGUACAAGAAAAAUGACAACUUGUAUGGUUGUUCAUCUCAAGAAAGAUAAAUUUAUUUUUUACUUCGGUUUAUUCGGUUAACCGUUCGGUUUUCCGGUAUAUACCAUAAAAACCAAGUUCAAAUCGGUAUGAAAAGUUCAUACCAUACCGAAAGCAGAAACCAUAAAAACCAUAAAAUUGGUUCGGUUCGGUUUAUUUUUGGUAUGGUUUUUUGGUUCGGUUUUAAAAUGCACAGAGUGAACAUAUAUAUAGCAGCAACUCUUAUAGAUCCUUCCUAAUACAGACAAUAGAAAUAUUUUGGAGAGGGUAUUGAAGAUAAAUUAAAUUUAUUUGGUUCCUAGCCAUUUAUGUGGGGUUACAUGAUGUAUUCAACGGCCAUGAGAAUAGUGCAAGGAAUUUAAGAUACAGAGCUAUACAUGGAAUUGAAGGAUAAAGAGUUACUUGUCUGCUGAGUGGGUUCAGAGCGACGAACGUGAAUGGUGUCAAGGAGGUCAACAGUCACACUGCCAGAUCACUGCAGUUCUGUUGCUCGACACCAUAAUCGAUGGUGGCGUCCUCUACUGGUUUGAUUCAAACUAUCAAUGGUAUGCCUCAUUCCCUGUAUAAACAUCUGGGGAUAAAUUCAUCUACGGGGUCAAAACAGAUGCUGGAUUAACACGUAUUCAGAACCUAGAACCAAGGAAAUUUUCGCGCAACUGUGGAGUAAGCAAAUCAAAUGUAUAUCAUAAUGCGUUUUGUCGCUUGCAUGAUAUUUGCAACUGAGUUGAAU